Molecule: ribosomal RNA, 253 nt
Filed under: uncultured bacterium
Lineage: Bacteria
Description: partial 16S ribosomal RNA
Rfam family: Bacterial small subunit ribosomal RNA
Source: RNAcentral
UACGUAGGGUGCAGGCGUUAAUCGGAAUUACUGGGCGUAAAGCGUGCGCAGGCGGUUUCUUAAGUCAGAUGUGAAAGCCCCGGGCUUAACCUGGGAACUGCGUUUGAAACUGGGAGACUUGAGUGCCGGAGGGGAGAGUGGAAUUCCUGGUGUAGCGGUGAAAUGCGUAGAUAUCAGGAGGAAUACCGGUGGCGAAAGCGACUCUCUGGACGGCAACUGACGCUGAGGCACGAAAGCGUGGGGAGCAAACAGG